This 88-nucleotide transfer RNA is filed under the name Nocardia salmonicida. Its description in RNAcentral is "tRNA-Ser". It matches the Rfam family "tRNA". Rfam says of the family: Transfer RNA (tRNA) molecules are approximately 80 nucleotides in length. Their secondary structure includes four short double-helical elements and three loops (D, anti-codon, and T loops). Lineage: Bacteria; Bacillati; Actinomycetota; Actinomycetes; Mycobacteriales; Nocardiaceae. The record is from RNAcentral. RNAcentral also lists the same sequence under 5 other names.
GGAGACGUGGCAGAGCGGCCGAAUGCACUCGCCUUGAAAGCGAGCAUGGGUAAAACCAUCGGGGGUUCAAAUCCCUCCGUCUCCGCCA